GCAGUUAGCUCAGUUGUUUAGAGUGUGGUGCUGAUAACACCAUGGCAGCUGGUUCUAACCCAAACAGGCCAACUGCA
Molecule: non-coding RNA, 77 nt
Organism: Podarcis lilfordi (Lilford's wall lizard)
Lineage: Eukaryota; Metazoa; Chordata; Lepidosauria; Squamata; Lacertidae
Source: the annotation of a GenBank genome assembly